This 508-nucleotide ribosomal RNA is filed under the name Ligilactobacillus salivarius. Its description in RNAcentral is "bacterial LSU rRNA". It matches the Rfam family "Bacterial large subunit ribosomal RNA", at positions 1 to 498 of the family's 2925-position model. The record is from RNAcentral. Lineage: Bacteria; Bacillati; Bacillota; Bacilli; Lactobacillales; Lactobacillaceae.
AUAUUAGGUUAAGUUAUUAAGGGCGUAUGGUGGAUGCCUUGGCACUAGGAGCCGAUGAAGGACGUGACUAACUGCGAUAUGCUUCGGGGAGUUGUAAGUAAACUAUGAUCCGGAGAUUUCCGAAUAGGGAAACCUAACAGGUUUUACCGCCUGUUAUCACUAAGUGAAUUCAUAGCUUAGUUGAAGGUAGACGUGGGGAACUGAAACAUCUAAGUACCCACAGGAAGAGAAAGAAAUUCGAUUCCCUCAGUAGCGGCGAGCGAACCGGGAAGAGCCCAAACUAAGAAGCUUGCUUCUUAGGGUUGUAGGACUGAACAUCUGAGUUACCAAGAAACGAAGUAGUUGAAUAAUCUGGGAAGAUUAGCCAAAGAGAGUGAUAGCCUCGUAAACGAAACUUCGUUUCCUCAGUUCAGGAUCCUGAGUACGGCGGAACACGUGAAACUCCGUCGGAAUCCGGGAGGACCAUCUCCCAAGGCUAAAUACUACCUAGUGACCGAUAGUGAACCAG